AAAGAAAGCGUAAUAGCUCACUGGUCGAGUCGGCCUGCGCGGAAGAUGUAACGGGGCUAAACCAUGCACCGAAGCUGCGGCAGCGACGCUGAUGCGUUGUUGGGUAGGGGAGCGUUCUGUAAGCCUGUGAAGGUGGCCUGUGAGGGUUGCUGGAGGUAUCAGAAGUGCGAAUGCUGACAUAAGUAACGAUAAAGCGGGUGAAAAGCCCGCUCGCCGGAAGACCAAGGGUUCCUGUCCAACGUUAAUCGGGGCAGGGUGAGUCGACCCCUAAGGCGAGGCCGAAAGGCGUAGUCGAUGGGAAACGGGUUAAUAUUCCCGUACUUGGUGUUACUGCGAAGGGGGGACGGAGAAGGCUAUGUUGGCCGGGCGACGGUUGUCCCGGUUUAAGCGUGUAGGUGUGUGUUCCAGGUAAAUCCGGUUCACUUUAACACUGAGGCGUGACGACGAGGCACUACGGUGCUGAAGCAACAAAUGCCCUGCUUCCAGGAAAAGCCUCUAAGCAUCAGGUAACAUCAAAUCGUACCCCAAACCGACACAGGUGGUCAGGUAGAGAAUACCAAGGCGCUUGAGAGAACUCGGGUGAAGGAACUAGGCAAAAUGGUGCCGUAACUUCGGGAGAAGGCACGCUGACACGUAGGUGAAGUGAUUUACUCAUGGAGCUGAAGUCAGUCGAAGAUACCAGCUGGCUGCAACUGUUUAUUAAAAACACAGCACUGUGCAAACACGAAAGUGGACGUAUACGGUGUGACGCCUGCCCGGUGCCGGAAGGUUAAUUGAUGGGGUCAGCGCAAGCGAAGCUCCUGAUCGAAGCCCCGGUAAACGGCGGCCGUAACUAUAACGGUCCUAAGGUAGCGAAAUUCCUUGUCGGGUAAGUUCCGACCUGCACGAAUGGCGUAAUGAUGGCCAGGCUGUCUCCACCCGAGACUCAGUGAAAUUGAACUCGCUGUGAAGAUGCAGUGUACCCGCGGCAAGACGGAAAGACCCCGUGAACCUUUACUAUAGCUUGACACUGAACAUUGAGCCUUGAUGUGUAGGAUAGGUGGGAGGCUUUGAAGUGUGGACGCCAGUCUGCAUGGAGCCGACCUUGAAAUACCACCCUUUAAUGUUUGAUGUUCUAACGUGGACCCGUUA
RNAcentral lists this ribosomal RNA (1131 nucleotides) under Salmonella enterica. Its description in RNAcentral is "partial 23S ribosomal RNA". It matches the Rfam family "Bacterial large subunit ribosomal RNA", at positions 1125 to 2238 of the family's 2925-position model. Lineage: Bacteria; Pseudomonadati; Pseudomonadota; Gammaproteobacteria; Enterobacterales; Enterobacteriaceae. The record is from RNAcentral.